This 215-nucleotide long non-coding RNA is filed under the name Elaeis guineensis (African oil palm). RNAcentral describes it as "long non-coding RNA (EGUI_LNC021601)". Lineage: Eukaryota; Viridiplantae; Streptophyta; Magnoliopsida; Arecales; Arecaceae. The record is from RNAcentral.
GCUGCUGCUAUCACUGUUCUGCUGUCUCUUGCAGACUGUGAACUACUUCGAUUCAGAUCUUCACCUAUUGCACCAAGAUAAUAAAUUGCUAUUGGUCCACUAUGACCACCGAUCGUGAAGCACUGGUUCAGCAUCGGUCGUCGAAAAUGCUUCACACCGAAACGAACGUCUAGCGGAGCUGGUUGAAGCAUUUGCGCUCUCAUUUUGGCCAUGGU